Molecule: ribosomal RNA, 712 nt
Filed under: uncultured bacterium
Lineage: Bacteria
Description: bacterial SSU rRNA
Rfam family: Bacterial small subunit ribosomal RNA
Source: RNAcentral
GGGUGAGUAACGCGUAUGCAACCUGCCCGUUUCAGCGGGAUAACCCGGAGAAAUCCGGCCUAAUACCGCAUGUGGCCGAGGGGAGGCAUCUUCUUUCGGCCAAAGGAGGCGACUCCGGAGACGGAUGGGCAUGCGUGACAUUAGCUUGUUGGCGGGGUGACGGCCCACCAAGGCGACGAUGUCUAGGGGUUCUGAGAGGAAGGUCCCCCACACUGGUACUGAGACACGGACCAGACUCCUACGGGAGGCAGCAGUGAGGAAUAUUGGUCAAUGGGCGAGAGCCUGAACCAGCCAAGUCGCGUGAAGGAUGACGGCCCUACGGGUUGUAAACUUCUUUUGUCAGGGAGCAAUUGAGUCCACGUGUGGGUUAGCGAGAGUACCUGAAGAAAAAGCAUCGGCUAACUCCGUGCCAGCAGCCGCGGUAAUACGGAGGAUGCGAGCGUUAUCCGGAUUUAUUGGGUUUAAAGGGUGCGUAGGCGGAAUAUCAAGUCAGCGGUAAAAAUUCGGGGCUCAACCCCGUCGUGCCGUUGAAACUGAUGUUCUUGAGUGGGCGAGAAGUAUGCGGAAUGCGUGGUGUAGCGGUGAAAUGCAUAGAUAUCACGCAGAACUCCGAUUGCGAAGGCAGCAUACCGGCGCCCAACUGACGCUGAAGCACGAAAGCGUGGGUAUCGAACAGGAUUAGAUACCCUGGUAGUCCACGCAGUAAACGAUG